This 3577-nucleotide long non-coding RNA is filed under the name Salmo salar (Atlantic salmon). RNAcentral describes it as "lncRNA (ENSSSAG00000097271.1)". Lineage: Eukaryota; Metazoa; Chordata; Actinopteri; Salmoniformes; Salmonidae. The record is from RNAcentral.
UAGAGAGAGGCAUGCGUAGCCAAGUGAACAUAUGGGUCCAGUGAUUGGUUGGGCUGACUGGGGACACGGCGAUUCAGACAGUUAGCAGGUCGAUGCUAACAGUUAGUAGGCCGGGGUUAAACAAGCUAGCAAUUAGCAGACUGGGGCUGGCAAGCUAGCAGUUAGCAUACCGGGUUAGCAAGUUAGCCUUUGGGGGAAGUCGCGAUGGGGGUAAGUCUGUUUUUGCCUCUUCGUGCGGUGACGUCGAUAGACCAGUCGUGGAAUUAGUAGGGUUCCAAGUAGCUCUAGAUAGCUAGCAGGCCGGUUAGCAGAAUGGGCCUUCAGUGGACGUCGCGCCUGAGGGGCCUGUUGGAAUCAAAUGGUUGAUUAAACAUGGCUGACUGAGAUAUGGAGGAGGUAUGGAGGAGGAGGUACGGAGGAGAUAUGGAGGAGGAGGUACGGAGGAGAUAUGGAGGAGAUAUGGAGGAGGAGGUACAGAUGAGGAGGAGGUAUGGAGGAGGUACGGAGGAGAUAUGGAGGAGAUAUGGAGGAGGAGGUACAGAUGAGGAGGAGGUAUGGAGGAGGUACGGAGGAGGUAUAGAGAAGAUAUGGAGGAGGUACAGAGGAGAUAUGGAGAUAUGGAGGAGGUAUGGAGGGGGUACAGAGGAGAUACGGAGGAGAUAUGGAGGAGGUACAGAGGAGAUACGGAGGAGGAGGAGGUAUGGAGGAGGCGGAGGUAUGGAGGAGAUAUGGAGGAGGAGAUAUGGAGGAGGAGGUACGGAGGAGGUAAAGAGAAGAUAUGGAGGAGGAGGUACAGAUGAGGAGGAGGUAUGGAGGAGGUAUGGAGGAGAUACAGAGAAGAUAUGGAGGAGGAGGUACAGAGGAGGUGGUAUGGAGGAGAUAUGGAGGAGGAGGUACGGAGGAGAUAUGGAGGAGAUAUGGAGGAGGAGGUACAGAUGAGGAGGAGGUAUGGAGGAGGUACGGAGGAGAUAUGGAGGAGAUAUGGAGGAGGAGGUACAGAUGAGGAGGAGAUAUGGAGGAGGAGGUACGGAGGAGAUAUGGAGGAGAUAUGGAGGAGGAGGUACAGAUGAGGAGGAGGUAUGGAGGAGGUACGGAGGAGGUAUAGAGAAGAUAUGGAGGAGGUACAGAGGAGAUAUGGAGAUAUGGAGGAGGUAUGGAGGGGGUACAGAGGAGAUACGGAGGAGAUAUGGAGGAGGUACAGAGGAGAUACGGAGGAGGAGGAGGUAUGGAGGAGGCGGAGGUAUGGAGGAGAUAUGGAGGAGGAGAUAUGGAGGAGGAGGUACGGAGGAGGUACAGAGAAGAUAUGGAGGAGGAGGUACAGAUGAGGAGGAGGUAUGGAGGAGGUAUGGAGGAGAUACAGAGAAGAUAUGGAGGAGGAGGUACAGAGGAGGAGGUAUGGAGGAGAUAUGGAGGAGGAGGUACGGAGGAGAUAUGGAGGAGAUAUGGAGGAGAUAUGGAGGAGAUACGGAGGAGGUAUGGAAGAGGAGAGAUGGAGGAGGAGGUAUGGAAGAGGAGGAGGAGGUAUAGAGGAGGUAUGGAGGAGGAGAUACGGAGGAGAUAUGGAGGAGGAGGUAUGGAGGAGGAGGAGGUAUGGAGGAGGUACGAGGAGAAAUGGAGGAGGAGAGAUGGAGGAGGAGGAGGUAUAGAGGAGGAGGUACGGAGGAAAUACAAAGGAGUAGGAGGUAUGGAGGAGGUACAGAGGAGAAAUGGAGGCGGAGGUAUGGAGGAGGUACAGAGAAGAUAUGGAGGAGGAGAUAUGGAGGUACAGAGAAGGAGGAGGUAUGGAGGAGGUACAGAGGAGGAGGAGGUAUGGAGGAGGUACGGAGGAGGAGGAGGUAUGGAGGAGGUACAGAGGAGGAGGAGGUGUGGAGGAGGUACGGAGGAGAAAUGGAGGAGGAGGUAUGGAGGAGGUAUGGAGGAGGAGGUACGGAGGAGGUACAGAGGAGGAGGAGGUAUGGAGGAGGAGGUAUGGAGGAGGAGGUAUGGAGGAGGAGGAUGCAUGGAGGAGGUGCAGAGGAGGAGGAGGUAUAGAGGAGGUAUGGAGGAGAAAUGGAGGAGGAGGUACAGAGAAGAUAUGGAGGAGGAGAUAUGGAGGAGUAUGGAGGAGGUACAGAGAAGGAGGAGGUAUGGAGGAGGUACAGAUGAGGAGGAGGUAUGAAGGAGGUAUGGAGGAGGUAUGGAGGAGGUACAGAGAAGAUAUAGAGGAGGAGAUAUGGAGGAGGUAUGGAGGAGAUAUAGAGGAGAUAUAGAGGAGGAGAUAUGGAGGAGGUAUGGAGGAGAUAUAGAGGAGAUAUAGAGGAGGAGGUACGGGGGAGGUAGAGGAGGAGGAGGAAUGGAGGAGAAGAUAUGGAGGAGGAGGUAUGGAGGAGAUAUAGAGGAGGAGGUACGGAGGAGGAGGUACAGAGGAGGAGUUAUGGAGGAGGUAUGGAGGCGAUAUAGAGGAGGAGGUAUGGAGGAGAUAAAGAGGAGAUAUGGAGGAGGUAUGGAGGAGAUAAAGAGGAGAUAUGGAGGAGGUAAAGAGGAGAUAUGGAGGAGGUAAAGAGGAGAUAUGGAUGAGGUAAGGAGGAGGUAUGGAGGAGGUAAAGAGGAGGUAUGGAGGAGGAGGUAUGGAGGAGGAGGUAUGGAGGAGAUAAGGAGGAGAUAUGGAGGAGGUAAAGAGGAGAUAUGGAGGAGGUAUGGAGGAGGAGGUAGGGAGGAGGUAGGGAGGAGGAGACAUAGAGGUUUGGAGGAGGUUUGGAGGAGAUAUGGAGGAGGAGGUACGGAGGAGGUACAGAGGAGGAGAAAUGGACGAGGAGAAAUGAGGAGGAGGUAUGGAGGAGGUACGGAGGAGAAAUGGAGGAGGAGAUACGGAGGAGGUAUGGAGGAGGUACGGAGGAGAUAGGGAGGAGACAUAGAGGAGGUUUGGAGGAGGAGAUACGGAGGAGGAGGUACGGAGGAGGAAUGGAGGAGGUACGGAGGAGGAAGGUCAUGGCUGGUCAUGGCUCACAUCAACACCAUCAUGCCGGAAACCCUAGAUCCACUCCAAUUCGCAUACCACCCAAACAGAUCCACAGAUGAUGCAAUGUCUACUGCACUCCCCACUGCCCUUUCCCACCUGGACAAAAGGAACAUCUAUGUGAGAAUGCUGUUCAUUGACUACAGCUCAGCGUUCAACACCAUAGUGCCCUCCAAACUCAUCACUAAGCUAAGGACCCUGGGACUAAACACCUCCCUCUGCAACUGGAACCUGGACUUCCUGACGGGCCGCCCCCAGGUGGUGAGCUAGCUAGCAGAACAGGUACCACUCCUCCUCCUCCUCCUCCUCCAUAAACACAGAGGGGUGGUGAGGAGAGGACCAGCUAGCUAGCAGAACAGGUACCACUCCUCCUCCUCCUCCUCCAUAAACACAGAGGGGUGGUGAGGAGAGGACCAGCUAGCUAGCAGAACAGGUACCACUCCUCCUCCUCCUCCUCCUCCAUAAACACAGAGGGGUGGUGAGGAGAGGACCAGCUAGCUAGCAGAACAGGUACCACUCCUCCUCCUCCUCCUCCAUAAACACAGAGGGGUGGUGAGGAGAGGACCAGCUAGCUAGCAGAAC